Non-coding RNA from Nerophis lumbriciformis (worm pipefish), 543 nucleotides. Lineage: Eukaryota; Metazoa; Chordata; Actinopteri; Syngnathiformes; Syngnathidae. The record is from RefSeq and is a predicted model, not a curated record.
CCACAAAGAAAAUGAAGGACCUGCAUAAUUCUCCUCCCCCAAAUGAGUAAUCUGGGUGUUUGGCCUUCGUCAGAUGGGAGGACGGUUAUACCGGCAAAAUCUUUACUGGAGCAGACAUUUUGUCAAGAGAUGAAGCUCCUGUGCAGAUCUUAGAUCUUAGAACAGGAGAUUCUGUUUUAGCAAAGUGGUCAGAUGGUAAAUUUUAUAGGGCAACUGUUGAAUAUAUUUCAGGAAAAGUGACGGGGGACUUGUAACAGGCAGCAACACUGUUGGACCACCACCACCACCCUAUGGGAGAGAUGCAGGCAACCCAUCUGUCGAGGACACUAUCUCAUAUCGACCGCAGGCAGAAAAAUCAUGGACGCCAUGUGAUGGGUGUUGGGAGGAGUUCGAAAAAAUCCUGCGAGAAAAGCAACAAAUCGAAGAAGUCCUCUUGAAAAUAGGCAAGUAAUUAAUGCUAAUUUAUUCAUGAUGUAAUUAUUUUGUUUACGUAAAUUUGUUAUUUGGCCUUGAACACAUUAUUUUCUCAUUCGGGUAUUGUUU